UACGGGGGGGGCAAGCGUUGUUCGGAAUUACUGGGCGUAAAGGGCUCGUAGGUGGCCAACUAAGUCAGACGUGAAAUCCCUCGGCUUAACCGGGGAACUGCGUCUGAUACUGGAUGGCUUGAGUUCGGGAGAGGGAUGCGGAAUUCCAGGUGUAGCGGUGAAAUGCGUAGAUAUCUGGAGGAACACCGGUGGCGAAGGCGGCAUCCUGGACCGACACUGACGCUGAAGAGCGAAAGCCAGGGGAGCAAACGGG
This 253-nucleotide ribosomal RNA is filed under the name uncultured bacterium. RNAcentral's name for it is "partial 16S ribosomal RNA". It matches the Rfam family "Bacterial small subunit ribosomal RNA", at positions 524 to 776 of the family's 1533-position model. The record is from RNAcentral.